Molecule: long non-coding RNA, 5554 nt
Organism: Dama dama (fallow deer)
Lineage: Eukaryota; Metazoa; Chordata; Mammalia; Artiodactyla; Cervidae
Exons: 2
Source: RefSeq, a predicted model, not a curated record
CACAUUUUGGUACGGUAAUUCAUUUGGCAGAAAGGGCAUCAUCUUGCCCUCGAGAUAAGCCCGCACAAUGUGGCUUAGAAGUCGCAGAAGUAGGUCUUGCAUGAAGGAAGUCCUUCUCGCUAAGUCGCAACACAUACUGGAUAUCUCGUUGCUUUUGGUCAGGCUGUGCCUGCGUCUUAAUUCAUAGAGGUGCCUCAGUGGCUCUGCAGAGAGGCCAGUGUCCUUACAAAGAGAAGUUGAAAGUCACCUAGUGAGGAGAGGCACCGGGCAGGGUGCAGAGACCCAAGGGGACGCGCCAGGUUUUAAAGAGCUUGUGGCCUCUUGACGGGGGCGUGUCUAAGGCAGAGCUGAGAGCUGGUUGUUUUCAGAAGAGGCGGCAGGAAGUGUCGAGUGGGGUGGGGCCAAGCCGCCUGCUCAAUAUCGGUUUUUGAAUACCCCGGGUGUGUUUGGAGCUCUGGAGGUGGUCUCUGAUAGCCGGAGACCAAACUGAGCAUAUUUUUUUUUUUAUAAAACUGAGCACUUUGUUUUUUUUUUUUUUUUUUUGUCAUGAAACUGAGCAUUUUUUUUUUUUUUUUGUCAGAAAACUGAGCACUUUUUUUUUGUUCACAAAACUGAGCACUUUUUUUUUUUUUUUUUUGUCACCAAACUGAGCAUUUAUUUAUUUAUUUAUUUUUGUCACCAAACUGAGCUGAAGAAGGAAUUCAUAGGGCCUGGACUCCAUCUCAGGCCUGUCUGUGCUGAUCGUGCGUGGCCACCUCUCCAGUGGACUCUGAACUCUGUGCUUAGCGCCUGUGGGAACAACAUUGGAAGGAUAAGACCCCCCUCUGGGCAGGGGAAUGUUGAAGAAGAGAAAACAGACACUAAUCACCCCUGCCUCUGGACACUAUCUAUCAGAAUGUAAGCACAGGCUUAUCGGUUAUUAACUAUUUGGAAUGUAACUGCGGGCUUAUUGAUUAUUGACUGUUUGAACACAUAACACGUGAAUGAUGGGGUUAUUGUAAUUGUAUUUACCCUUCCUUUGUUUAUGUAAGUCUCAAGGGAAUUGGGGUAGUGGGUUUGGACGCGUGCACAUGGGGUAUAAAAGAUUUUCACAAAUGCUGGUCGGGGUCCUUGGCUAAGAGGAGACUCUGCCUUGGGCCCGCCAGUGUAAUAAACUGCACUCCACUAUCUGCAUUGUCCUUCUGAGAGAGUUUGCUUCCCGGAAAGCGUGGCUAUAACAUUUGGUGCAUUGGCCGGGAAACUCCUCACUUUGAGGAGACAGGUCUCACUUGAGGCCACCCCGAGGCUUUGUAGCUUGAACCUCCUAGAGGAGGGAAGGCGCCUCGCCCCUCUGGAAGGAUUCUGCUUCUCAACGCCCGGACCUUUCACGUCAGCAGGUAGUGGACGGCAGCAGGGGAACUGAGCGCUCAGGUGAGGAGGAACUCACCGAGUAGGGUGGAAGAGGGGGCCUGAUCACCCCUCUGGGAGGGACUAGAAGGAGCGGGGACCCACAGGAGCCUGGAAUAGGCAGGCGGCGAUUGCUUGGUACACAGGUCGACGAGCGUGCUAGGGUUUAGGAAGGAAAUUUGUGAAGGUCAUUUAGGAGGUGUGUCCACGCUGUCUCGGGGAAAAUUAUUACCAAGCUAUCGCCAGGGGAUUCUUAGGAUAGGAAACUGGUCCUUGUAUGCUCGUAUUCUGCCCUCCCCCAGGAGGUGUCCUCUCUGCUGUGAAAUUCUUGACCCCCUUGGAAUUGUUGGGCUAGAAGGAGGGGGAAACAGAAGUGAGUAUGAAUUGGCUUUUCUGGAGAUGGCCUGGGACAUGAGAUAUUUAACCCAUCUGUGUUUUCAUCCGCACCUGAUCAAGCCCACCAAGGCAGAAUGGACUUUAAGGGAGAAACAGUCUCGGACCAUGUGAUGUUCUGGUUCAGCUAUGCUGACUGGCAGGUGAAGACACGCUGAUCCCCCUUCUCCCUCUGGGAUCUGGCAGGUAAGGCUCUUCUCACCCCAGUUAAGGAGGCAAAAUGGCAAUUUAAGUGUCACUGAGUGGAAAUAUCAGAAGUACAUAGGGUACUGAGAACUUCGUAGACAGAACGAAAAGGAAAAGUAGAAGAAGGUCCGAGAAGGUAAGCAAGAUGGGGGAAAGUGAAUCUAAGGCAACUGUAUUGGAGUGCAUGAUUAAAAAUUUAAAGAAGGGAUUAGGAGGAGACUAUGGGGUGGAGAUGAAGCCUAACUGCCUCCACAUACUCUGUGAGGUCGAAUGGCCCCCUAUGGGAGCAGGAUGGCCACCAGAGAACACUGUGAACUUAAAAAUAGUGGAAGCAAUCUAUACAGCAGUCACAGGAGAGCCAGGACACUUGGAUCUAUAUCCAUCUAUUGACUCAUGGCUAGGGUUAGCUUGAGACCCUCCUACUUGGACAAGGUUCUGUAUCCAGAAGGGAAAGGGAAAAAUAUUAAUGGCACAAAAAUUGACUUAUGAUAAAAAAGGAAAUUCUACAGGAUUUGGACGGGGAUGACCUGACCCCUCCCCCAUGCUGGAUAAUGACACGCCUGCCUCCCAGUGCUUCACCAGGACCGGAGGCCGCCUUAAUGCCCGAUCCAGGGCCAGGUGAAGUUUCUGCAACAGCCACUGCUCCUCUGCCAGCUUUCCCGGAGUUCAUAGAGCCGCCGUUUGGGCAGGCUCCGAUCCCGGUGACAGAAGCCUCUGGCCAACACUUCCAGGAUCCGGCUCCACCCGAACCGCCCAAGCUAUACCCGCCUCUCCUGGUGAGUACUGACAAGACGGGGAGGGAGACGUUGGAAUUAAGCAGAGACCGCGCCCUGCCGGAGAGCUGGAGGGAACGAAAGAGAACAAACAAGAGCCUUACAGUGCAAGUUGCUGCUCUGGGAAAGUCUAUCUCGGGCCCUCCAGAAAACCUCAUCUGCCCCAGGGACAGGACAGUCCUUCAGCCGGUCCAAAGGGAGGCCCUGGGCCCAUUACAGCCAAACCAGUGUGCCCGGUGCCGAGCUUUUGGCCACUGGAAGAAGAAGAAGCUCCCGCAGUUGUGGGGCUUGCUGACCUGGAAAUUAACUAGGGCUGCCAGGGCUCAGAGAUAUCAGGUCCCUGAGAGCCCAUGGUAACCGUAAAAGUGGGGGACCAAAACACUGACUUCGUGGUGGAUACAGGAGAACUGUCGGUAGUAACAAAACCUGUGGCACCUCUGUCCACAAGACUACCGCUGUAACUGGGGUAUCGGGAGAAGAGAUGAUUAAAUCAUUUUGCCAGCCCAGAAAAUGUCAGAUUGGGGGGUGGGGGGGGCACCAAGUGAUUCAUGAACUCCUCUGCAUUCCUGAGUGCCCAGUACCCCUGUUGGGAAGAGACUUGCUCUCCAAACUAGGAGCACAAGUGACUUUCUCCCCUGAGGAGAGACCCACCUUCUGGACGGACUCUAUGACUUAUUUGCCCUCUCUCUCAAUACCAACCCAAGAUGAGUGGAGGUUGCAUGAGCCUCUGAAGGCAGAACCGGGUGGGCCAGAAGAACAUGAGGCAGCUAACUCAAUUAUUCCCUGAGGUCUGGGUGGAAGACAACCCCCUCCCCCCCCCCCCCCCCCCAGGCUGGCUAAACAUCAUGCCCCAGUGAUAAUAGAACUCAAACCAGGCACCAUCCCGGUUAGAGGGCGCCAGUACCCGCUAUGGAUGGAGGCCUGAACCGGCAUAUUGCCCCACAUCAAUAGAUUGAAACAAGCAGGCAUUCUGGUAGAGUGACAGUCGGCUUGGAAUACGCCAAUCCUGCCAGUCAACAGGGAAGGAGGACAGGACUAUAGGCCUGUACAAGAUCUCAGGCUAGUCAACCAGGCUACUGUGACUUUACAUCCCACUGUUCCAAACCCCUAUACCUUACUUAGCCUCCUCCCACCGAGGACUAAAGUUUACACUUGCCUAGAUCUCAAGGAUGCCUUCUUCUGCAUACGCCUCGCCCCAGCGUCACAGCCCAUCUUUGCCUUUGAAUGGGAAGAUCCAGUGGGGAGCACCAAACAACAGCUCAUCUGGACUCCCCCACAAGGGUUUAAAAACUUCCCAGCCAUCUUUGGAGAAGCCUUGGCUUCUGAUCAGGACUCAUUCCAUCCGGAAGAGUAUGGAUGUCAGCUCCUACAAUAGGGGGAUGACCUGCUGCUGGCUGCCUGAGACCAAGGAAAAAUGCUGGAAAGGGACAAAUGCACUGCUCCAGCUGUUGAUGGAAGGUUACCGGGUGUCGAAGAAGAAGGCACAGAUCUACAAAGAGGAGGUAAGGUAUCUGGGGUUUGUUUUAAAGAAGGACUCAGGGUUCCAGACCCUAAUUGGGUCCUAUAUACUGAUGGCACUCGCCUGAUAAAACAGGGACAACAGUGUGAGGGGGCCGCUCUAUGCAGAAACAGCCCAGGCAGGUGGUUGAGAGUCACCUGCAGAUCGGUCAUCAGUGGUCUGACCAACAUCAUCUUGAUUGUUUUCGGGACAGUGAACCUAGCUAUAGUACAUGUCCCCGGUCACCAGAUAGGAGAAGACCCUAAGGCGCGGGGCAAUCGUGCUGCUGAUGCGGCCGCUCGAGAAGCGGCUAGCCGGGACUAUGCUGCCCUCAUAUUAGCCGUGGGACUUCCACCUCCUUGUAUGGGGACCUUGCCACCAGUUCCCGAAUAUUCCCUCCCUGAUCUCGCCUGGAUCAACAAGGAUACCACCCUCCAGAAAGAUGACCAAGAUGGAUGGUACCGAGACCAAAUCAACAACCUGAUCUUGCCUGCCACCCUGGGUCGUCACCUGUGUGAACACCUGCACACAACUACACACUUGGGAGAAAAAAAGACCCUAACACUUCUCCAGACGGCCUGCCUGAGGUUCCCUCGACAAAAUGCCACUGUACGAGAGAUAAUUCAAGCCUGCGAAGCGUGCCAGCUGAUGAGGGCAGAGAAGAAGCAGCACUCGGGAACGAGAUACCGAGGGGAAAAGCCAGGGCAACAUUGGGAGAUAGAUUUCACUGAGAGGUUAAUGAUUCUUAUGUUCUGAGCGGCCUUAUCAGGUUAAUAAAAACGACAGUUUCCUGACAGGAGCAGAAAUCUUCCUAUUUUGCGGACUUCUAGAAGAGAGAAAUCUGCAAGGCAAAAACGAAUGGCAGGACUUUGGCCUGGAUUUCCUGAGCUUAGGAGGCUAUUUGUUGUUUGUCUUUGGCAUUUGGUCUGAAACACUUUUUUUGUACAUAUAAUUGUUUUAUUAUUGAUUUAUUCUUGGAGGUGGUCUUUCUGAUCAACACACAUACUCUUCCGUUCAAGGGGGGCUUUCUCGAGUUGCAGCACUAAUUGUGAACAAGACAGCUCAAAUUCUAGCCUCACAGCAAAGACCACUUGGAUACUACAUAUAUAUCAAAUGGAAACCCUCCACAACGCUUCUUCCUUCUUGUCCUCUAAACUAGGAGGACUCUUUUGAAAAACAUGACAAAUGUGUACUUUAAUCAUUAUCCUCAUGGUAAUAUGUCUCAUAAUUUUCAAAUGUCUGUCCAGGGCUUAUGACAAGGCAAUCAAAGAGAGAAAUAAUAUUGUCUUAAUACAGACUAUUGAUGCUAAGCUUGAAA